AGAGUUUGAUCAUGGCUCAGAUUGAACGCUGGCCGGUAUGCUUAACACAUGCAAGUCGAACGGUAACAGGCCUUCGGGCGCUGACGAGUGGCGGACGGGUGCGUAACGCGUAGGAAUCUGCCUGUUAGUGGGGGACAACGUGGGGAAACUCACGCUAAUACCGCAUACGCCCUACGGGGGAAAGCGGGGGACCUUCGGGCCUCGCGCUAACAGAUGAGCCUGCGUGGGAUUAGCUAGUUGGUAGGGUAAAGGCCUACCAAGGCGACGAUCCCUAGCUGGUCUGAGAGGACGAUCAGCCACACUGGGACUGAGACACGGCCCAGACUCCUACGGGAGGCAGCAGUGGGGAAUAUUGGACAAUGGGCGCAAGCCUGAUCCAGCAAUACCGCGUGUGUGAAGAAGGCCUGAGGGUUGUAAAGCACUUUUAAUCGGGAGGAACACCUGUCAGCGAAUACCUGGCAGUAUGACAUUACCGAUAGAAAAAGCACCGGCUAACUCCGUGCCAGCAGCCGCGGUAAUACGGAGGGUGCAAGCGUUAAUCGGAAUUACUGGGCGUAAAGCGUGCGUAGGCGGCUGUUUAAGUCAGAUGUGAAAGCCCCGGGCUUAACCUGGGAACUGCAUUUGAUACUGGGCAGCUAGAGUUGAGUAGAGGAGAGGGGAAUUUCAGGUGUAGCGGUGAAAUGCGUAGAGAUCUGAAGGAACACCAGUGGCGAAGGCGCCUCUCUGGACUCAAACUGACGCUGAGGUACGAAAGCGUGGGUAGCAAACAGGAUUAGAUACCCUGGUAGUCCACGCCGUAAACGAUGUCAACUAGCCGUUGGUCUUAUUCGUAAGAUUAGUGGCGUAGCUAACGCGAUAAGUUGACCGCCUGGGGAGUACGGCCGCAAGGUUAAAACUCAAAGGAAUUGACGG
Molecule: ribosomal RNA, 912 nt
Filed under: uncultured bacterium
Lineage: Bacteria
Description: SSU rRNA
Rfam family: Bacterial small subunit ribosomal RNA
Source: RNAcentral